UACGUAGGGGGCAAGCGUUGUCCGGAAUCAUUGGGCGUAAAGAGCGCGUAGGCGGUCCGGUAAGUCCGCUCUGAAAGUCCGGGGCUCAACCCCGGGAGGCGGGCGGAUACUGUCGGGCUUGAGUCCGGAAGAGGCGAGUGGAAUUCCUGGUGUAGCGGUGAAAUGCGCAGAUAUCAGGAGGAACACCAAUGGCGAAGGCAGCUCGCUGGGACGGUACUGACGCUGAGACGCGAAAGCGUGGGGAGCGAACAGG
Molecule: ribosomal RNA, 253 nt
Filed under: uncultured bacterium
Lineage: Bacteria
Description: partial 16S ribosomal RNA
Rfam family: Bacterial small subunit ribosomal RNA
Source: RNAcentral